This 347-nucleotide long non-coding RNA is filed under the name Sus scrofa (pig). RNAcentral describes it as "lncRNA (ENSSSCG00025051618.1)". Lineage: Eukaryota; Metazoa; Chordata; Mammalia; Artiodactyla; Suidae. The record is from RNAcentral.
CACCGUGCUGAGCCAGAACCGUCCCCCCAGCCCUUCCGGAGCGUGUCCCAGACAGACGCUCAUCAGGUCCUUGGGCUUCAGUGAAGAGAAGAAGAGCGGGUGAGGAGAGCGGGCAGUGCGGCAUCAGUCCGCACAGGCCAGGGCGGAGCAGAGAGAAGGCCAUGGGGUCUCGAGUAACUGCUGGAAGUCGGGGCAAGGUCCUCUGCCCUCUGCCUUCAAGAUGAGUUUCCUCUCACGGCUGCCUCCAAGCUGAGCAGGUCUGUACACGGCUAACCCCCCGCCCCAACCCCAGGGUCUUUGUGUGGGUUUCUGGAGUUGCCGCCUGCCCAGCGCUUCCUCUGGGGUCC